This 2538-nucleotide long non-coding RNA is filed under the name Suricata suricatta (meerkat). Its description in RNAcentral is "lncRNA (ENSSSUG00005010107.1)". Lineage: Eukaryota; Metazoa; Chordata; Mammalia; Carnivora; Herpestidae. The record is from RNAcentral.
CUAUCAGUAUCUUUAUCUGUGUAUCUACAGUCACCCGGAAAGGGAAGUCAUUAAAUGCUAACUGUGGGAUCAGGGAGAUUUUUUUCCUUUUUCUUAUUAUCCACUUUCUAUGUGUCCUGAAUUUUCCAUAAGCAUUAUGUUCCCCUAAUAAAACUGAAAUUUUCCAUUGAAGAAGAGAGAAACGUGCUGUUUCUUACGAAGAUGGUCUUUGAAAAGCGGUGUUCACAGUAUGCCUGGUCUUCCUUCUGCUCCAGUUAGGGCUGACCCCUCCUCCCUCUGCCAAUCGUAUACAGGGUUUUUCAGAAUUUAUGACGCCUUGUAUUCCUUAUUUGCUCUCAGAAAUCACCUACCGCCCUGACCAGAGUUUGCGCAGCCACCUGUAGACUGCCAAGAUGAAAGAAAAGAAAGUCCCGUGCAGACGCUUACUCUCUGUCAGGUAAGUAGCCGGAGACUGGCCGGGACUGACCGCACCCCACAGCAUUCAGGCUCUGCGCUGUCAGCAUGAGCCCAGCGUGGGGCUUGAACUCACAAACCAGGAGGGGAUGACCUGAGCCGAAGUCACGAGCUGGAUUCUUAACCGUCUGAGCCACCUGCGUGCUCCAGGGUGUUAGGAUUUCGAGGCAACGGGCCCCUUAUGUCUUUUGAGUGUCUUCCUGUGAACCUUUUCUUUCUGUUGCAGUUGUCAGCAGGACUUCACAUCUUCAAAGUCACAGUUUCCAGGGAUGAAGCCCCGGAGAAGGAUUCACAGAUGUCACCACGAAGCCAGCCUAAGAGCCGCCCUGCCUGUGGCAUCGGCCUUCCCGGACGGAACCGUGGGUGUCAGGGACACCUAAGAGUGACCGCCCCACGGGCUGCAGAUUUAUCGGUGUUCCCUGUGCAGGCUGGGAGGCCUCACACCCCUGCGCGGGGCCUAGCUAUUGGAUUUGGAAUUAAUGCAGUUGUUAGGGCGUCUCCUUUUGACGAAGCAUCUGAGAUGANNNNNNNNNNNNNNNNNNNNNNNNNNNNNNNNNNNNNNNNNNNNNNNNNNNNNNNNNNNNNNNNNNNNNNNNNNNNNNNNNNNNNNNNNNNNNNNNNNNNAAAAAACUGAGGGGGCUGGUUCCGAGGUAGCUCAAUCGUUAAGGCGCUCAACUCUUGAUGUCAGCUCAGGUCAUGUUCUCACAGUUGUGGGAUCCAUCUUCUCGUCGUGCUCUGUGAUGACAGCACAGAACCUGCUUGGGAUUCUCUCUCUUUCUCUCUCUGCCUCUCUCCUACUUGCCUGUGCGCAUAUAUCGUGAGCAUUCACUUUCUGAAAGUAAAUAAAUAAAUAUCGGAACAAAAAGACCACACUUAUGAAUUGGUCAUUGCUUCCUUUUUGAAAGGGGUCAUGGAUUAUCUGUUCAAUGUCUCACUGUGCAAUGUUGCAAGAGUUUGGCCUCUGGAUCUCAAUAUGCAAUUUCUAGAAACUCCUCUGACUCCCAUACUGAGAUUCAGAAGUUUUAUUGUAGAAGCCUCCCAAGAAACUCUUGCUUUUUCCGUUGAGAACCUCUCUUUUUGGUCCAUAAUUCUGCAGAAUUAGACAUGCCCAGUCGUACCUGUAAGUUCUUUGUGUAUCUUGGGACUCACUUUAUCAGGACCUCCGACUGGAAUAUGAGCUCCUCAGGGAGUUUUAGUUCCCUGCUCUAGCAUAUGUAGGGGCUCCAUAUACUUUUAAAAAUAUAACAGCCAUAUGGAAAUAUAAUUUAUAUCCCAUGAAUUCAGUAAUUUUUAAUAUAUUCACAGAUUUACAUACAUCACCCUAAUUUUAGAAGUCUUCAUCACCUCAUUAACAAAACCUCGUACUACCCACUAAUCAACCCAUCCUGUCAGUUCCUGGCACCAUUAAUUUACUCUCUAUUUCUGUGGCCCUACCUAUUCUGGAUAAUUCAUUUAAAUUGGAUCAUACAAUAUGUAUGAGGCCUUCUGUGAUUGGCUCUUUUUUCACUUGACAUGGUGUUGUUAAGAUUCAUCCAUGUCAUAGCAGGUAACUCAUAUCUUUGUUGCCAAGUGACAUUGCAUCCUAUGGGUAUACCACAUUUUUAUCAGUUCUUAUGUGGGUGCACAUUUGGAGUAAUUCUACUUUCUGGUAACCGUGAAGGUUAUUGCGUGGGUUGAUGAACAGGUUUGUGGGUGGAUACGUAUUUCCAGUUCUCCUGGGUAUAUACCGAGGACUGGAAUAGUAAGUAUGCUUGACCAUUUGAGGAAUGGCCCCAACUGUUCCAACGUGGCCGUACCAUUUUACAUCGUCACCAGCAAUGGGCAAAGGUCCCGAUCUCUUCUCAUCUUCUACCCUUGGUGUUGUGUCUUUUUUAGUAUAGAUGUUGGAUGAAAGUCAUGUGGGCAGGUGUGAAAUGAUAUCUCCUUGUAGUUGGGUUUGCAUUUCUCUCCUGACUAAUAAUGUUGAGCAUUUUUUUCAUAUGCUCAUUGGGUAGUUGUAUAUCUUUGGUGGAAUGUUUGUUUAAAUCCUGCACCCAUUUUUUAAAUCUUGGCUAUCUGUGUUUUUAUUGUUGAGUUGUAUUUGGG